This 486-nucleotide ribosomal RNA is filed under the name uncultured Pseudomonas sp. Its description in RNAcentral is "bacterial SSU rRNA". It matches the Rfam family "Bacterial small subunit ribosomal RNA", at positions 30 to 507 of the family's 1533-position model. Lineage: Bacteria; Pseudomonadati; Pseudomonadota; Gammaproteobacteria; Pseudomonadales; Pseudomonadaceae. The record is from RNAcentral.
AUUGAACGCUGGCGGCAGGCCUAACACAUGCAAGUCGAGCGGCAGCACGGGUACUUGUAUCUGGUGGCGAGCGGCGGACGGGUGAGUAAUGCCUAGGAAUCUGCCUGGUAGUGGGGGAUAACGCUCGGAAACGGACGCUAAUACCGCAUACGUCCUACGGGAGAAAGCAGGGGACCUUCGGGCCUUGCGCUAUCAGAUGAGCCUAGGUCGGAUUAGCUAGUUGGUGAGGUAACGGCUCACCAAGGCGACGAUCCGUAACUGGUCUGAGAGGAUGAUCAGUCACACUGGAACUGAGACACGGUCCAGACUCCUACGGGAGGCAGCAGUGGGGAAUAUUGGACAAUGGGCGAAAGCCUGAUCCAGCCAUGCCGCGUGUGUGAAGAAGGUCUUCGGAUUGUAAAGCACUUUAAGUUGGGAGGAAGGGCAGUUACCUAAUACGUAUCUGUUUUGACGUUACCGACAGAAUAAGCACCGGCUAACUCUGUG